UACGUAGGCAGCGAGCGUUGUCCGGAAUUACUGGGCGUAAAGCGUGCGCAGGCGGUUAUGUAAGACAGGUGUGAAAUCCCCGGGCUUAACCUGGGAACUGCAUUUGUGACUGCAUAGCUAGAGUACGGUAGAGGGGGAUGGAAUUCCGCGUGUAGCAGUGAAAUGCGUAGAUAUGCGGAGGAACACCGAUGGCGAAGGCAAUCCCCUGGACCUGUACUGACGCUCAUGCACGAAAGCG
RNAcentral lists this ribosomal RNA (238 nucleotides) under uncultured bacterium. RNAcentral's name for it is "partial 16S ribosomal RNA". It matches the Rfam family "Bacterial small subunit ribosomal RNA", at positions 524 to 761 of the family's 1533-position model. The record is from RNAcentral.